UACGUAGGGCGCAAGCGUUGUCCGGAAUUAUUGGGCGUAAAGAGCGUGUAGGCGGCUAUACAGGUCCGCUGUGAAAACUCGAGGCUCAACCUCGAGACGUCGGUGGAAACCGUAUGGCUAGAGUCCGGAAGAGGAGAGUGGAAUUCCUGGUGUAGCGGUGAAAUGCGCAGAUAUCAGGAAGAACACCCGUGGCGAAGGCGGCUCUCUGGGAGGUACUGACGCUGAGACGCGAAAGCGUGGGGAGCGAACAGG
This 252-nucleotide ribosomal RNA is filed under the name uncultured bacterium. RNAcentral describes it as "partial 16S ribosomal RNA". It matches the Rfam family "Bacterial small subunit ribosomal RNA", at positions 524 to 776 of the family's 1533-position model. The record is from RNAcentral.